Non-coding RNA from Pelobates cultripes (western spadefoot toad), 336 nucleotides. The record is from the annotation of a GenBank genome assembly. NCBI's taxonomy places the organism in Eukaryota, Metazoa, Chordata, Amphibia, Anura, Pelobatidae.
GGCAGAGCCACAAACGCUUGCUCUUUGCUUAAUGCCGUUAAAGAUAUUUAAUCCAGAGACCUCAUUCUUGCAGAGGUUCCCACAGUUCAAAGACCAGGACAAGGCUUUCUCUGCUCUUAUUGGAAUUAAUUGCUCAUAUUCCCCUCCCUGAAUCUCAUGAAGUGUCAGACUUAAAGAUCUGACUUCUGUCCCUUAAUCAGCCUGUUACCAAGCUGUUGGCUUGGUUUGAUUGUAAACUGAGUGUUAUUCAGGUCCCUGGCUAAAAAUAGUUUUAUUUGGCUUAAAACCAAAUCUAAUGUCUGAACUAUGACUGCCAGAUUAACUGUAAAUAUUUUU